CGGGACAUAGCUCAGUAGGCAGAGCAACUGGCUUAUAUCCAGCGUGUCACCGGUUCGAACCCGGUUGUCCCUA
Molecule: transfer RNA, 73 nt
Filed under: Clostridium sp.
Lineage: Bacteria; Bacillati; Bacillota; Clostridia; Eubacteriales; Clostridiaceae
Also listed under: 1 other name
Description: tRNA-Ile
Rfam family: tRNA
About the family: Transfer RNA (tRNA) molecules are approximately 80 nucleotides in length. Their secondary structure includes four short double-helical elements and three loops (D, anti-codon, and T loops).
Source: RNAcentral